CCAAGGAUAUCUAGCCUCCUGGGGAGGUCCCAUGCUGAGUGACCGUGGGAAUACUGGAUUAACUGUGUGGUCCUGACUCCUGUAGUGUCCCCUUGAGGUAUUUGCUUUACCUUUUGAAGGUCCCGGUACCAGUUUCGACUGUGACCGUUUAUAGUGUAUUUUGUUCCAUUGCAAAAUGGGAGACCUGGAGAAAUCUGAGAAGCUUAGUGGUGACCACUGUUGGGACUGUCGAACACUUAAGCUUCGAGCUGCUGGGUAAGAGCAAGGUACCCUGGGUAAGAGUUGUCAGAGAUGGGUGUGUGGGCACGAGGUCACACUGCUCUCACAGUGGAUCACGAUUUUGGGGCAUGUGCCAUGACUGUGUGAACAGUAUCAUCUGCAUACCCUCACUGGAGAUAUAUUAUGCCCAAUCAUACACUCUUAAAUUGUUAAAGAUUUUACUUGUGUAGCACUUGCUAAGAAAGGUCAUUUUAUUUUGUUUAGUAGGUUUUUUAGUUGGCUAAAGAAGCUGCAUAAUUCAAUGCAAUUGCGAAAUUCUUUCAUUGAACUUAAAAUACUGAUUCUCAGUGAAUCUAUAUAUUUCAUAACUUGAUAUACAAAAAAUAGGUUGGGACAAAUUCAACAAUUAUUACUGUAUAGACUUCAUCAAUCAAACUGUAGAUCUAGAUAUAUGAAAUAAAAUAAAAUCCUAGGCUCAAAUAGCUGAAAACUCAAAAAAGUAUAUACAUAUAUAUAGUCACAGGUUAAAAUCCCAGACAACUUAAAAAUAAUCCUAUGCUCACAAUCACAUAGUUUAAAAUCGUAGACUUUCAUCCCUUAAAACCCUAAACACACAUUUCUUUCAAGUUUUUUACGUUCUGAAUUAUAUGUUUCAUUUUUACUAAUAAAUUGAUGAAACUGCUUUCCAGAAUUUGUUAUUGCAUCAUCGGUAGAAGCUUCUAAUUCUGAUUUUAGACUUAUUUCUCCUUCGAAGAGUUUUUUUUUCUCUCUCUCUAAAGUCUUAAAAAAGAUUAGCUUUCCAUGAUGGUGUCGGGCUUUUUCAGUUUGAUUUAAAGACCUUUUUCUUCCUUCGAAUGAGUCAUUCCGCUGCAAGUCUGUUGCAUAAUCAUUAGCCUCAUAUUUCUUGAAACUAACUUUUUUUCUUCCUUUCUUUAAAGUCUAUUAAAUAAUCACUAUCCUUAACUUGCUCCUAGGCUUUAUUAGAAAUAAAAUUUUAUUUUUCUUCCAACGGUUAGCAUCGUCGACAAUAAAAUAGCCUAGAGCUUCAAAGCAAUAAAAUGUUGACAAACAACUGUUGACUGAAGCAGACGCCUCCUGACCCCUUGGAGUUCCUCCCUCCGGCGGUCUCUAGAGUCACUGCUCCCUCCAGACUUGGUCUCCUUCAGGGCAGCAGGGCGGAGUAAUCUGGGAGUAGACGAGAGCCGGGAGUCUGCUGUAGUCUGGAGUAAUUGGGGAGUAGGUUGGAUAGGUAGGCGCUGGGAGGAUGGCGUCUUGACUCGGCUUUUUGGACAAAUUCUCUGGCGUUGGAGGUUUCCUCCUUUUGGCGUCUUCUUUCUGGUGUAAUGUAGCUCCUGUAAAAUAUAAAGAAAAUACUCUUAUUAAAAAAUUUC
Molecule: long non-coding RNA, 1610 nt
Organism: Macrobrachium nipponense
Lineage: Eukaryota; Metazoa; Arthropoda; Malacostraca; Decapoda; Palaemonidae
Exons: 3
Source: RefSeq, a predicted model, not a curated record